RNAcentral lists this ribosomal RNA (253 nucleotides) under uncultured bacterium. RNAcentral describes it as "partial 16S ribosomal RNA". It matches the Rfam family "Bacterial small subunit ribosomal RNA", at positions 524 to 776 of the family's 1533-position model. The record is from RNAcentral.
UACGGAGGGUGCAAGCGUUGUCCGGAAUCACUGGGCGUAAAGGGCGCGUAGGCGGCCUGGUAAGUAGGGGGUGAAAUCCUGCGGCUUAACCGCAGGGCUGCCUUCUAAACUGUCAGGCUUGAGCACGGUAGAGGCAGAUGGAAUUCCCGGUGUAGCGGUGGAAUGCGUAGAGAUCGGGAAGAACAGCAGUGGCGAAGGCGGUCUGCUGGGCCGUUGCUGACGCUGAGGCGCGACAGCGUGGGGAGCAAACAGG